CUGAACAUUGUAAGCUACACAAAUGUACGUUUUUAAGGGGUGUAUGAAUUGCAUUGUAUCUAGAUUGUGUUCCUGUUAUUAUACACACCACCUGAGUGUUUAAAGCCUACAUGUGUCUACAGUAAUUAUAGCUUUCUACCUCCCCUUCUAAAAUGGAUCAGAGGGACAUUUAGGGGCCUUUCAGAAUCUUGACCUGACUACACACUGAACUCAUACUGUAUAUAUUUCAGCAUUUUUAUUUUCAAAAAAUGUCUAAAAAUUCAGUACAUGGUAAAAAGAAAUCGCACUUUAAAAGAAAUAUUUAUCGAUCUCACUGGAGCCCAAACUCAGCUUGAAACAAAUACAACAACAAUGAAACAGCUUUUCAGGAUCAACCUAACACAAAAUAUGAAAAGAAACUCACAUUUGCAGAAAAA
This is a long non-coding RNA of Sander lucioperca (pikeperch), 416 nucleotides long. RefSeq lists it as uncharacterized. The transcript has 2 exons. The record is from RefSeq and is a predicted model, not a curated record. NCBI's taxonomy places the organism in Eukaryota, Metazoa, Chordata, Actinopteri, Perciformes, Percidae.